RNAcentral lists this ribosomal RNA (162 nucleotides) under Deverra triradiata. Its description in RNAcentral is "5.8S ribosomal RNA". It matches the Rfam family "5.8S ribosomal RNA". Rfam says of the family: 5.8S ribosomal RNA (5.8S rRNA) is a component of the large subunit of the eukaryotic ribosome. It is transcribed by RNA polymerase I as part of the 45S precursor that also contains 18S and 28S rRNA. The record is from RNAcentral. Lineage: Eukaryota; Viridiplantae; Streptophyta; Magnoliopsida; Apiales; Apiaceae.
AACGACUCUCGACAACGGAUAUCUCGGCUCUCGCAUCGAUGAAGAACGUAGCGAAAUGCGAUACUUGGUGUGAAUUGCAGAAUCCCGUGAACCAUCGAGUCUUUGAACGCAAGUUGCGCCCGAAGCCAACAGGCCGAGGGCAUGUCUGCCUGGGUGUCACGC